UUUCAAGAUGUCCGUAAUGUGAAGAUUGAGUAUCAGAUGGUAUAAUAUUAUUAUUAAGCUUCAAGUGUUUCAUUCUCUUGUUCCUUCGCGAAAACAUAGCGAACUGCGUUGCAGAGAAACUGAAGUGUGAAUUGAAAAAAGAAAGAAGAUGCUUAGGAAUGAUGUCAAACUGUACUGCUACUAACACUUAUUGAGGUAUAAAGUGGAUUGUAUUG
Molecule: long non-coding RNA, 215 nt
Organism: Limulus polyphemus (Atlantic horseshoe crab)
Lineage: Eukaryota; Metazoa; Arthropoda; Merostomata; Xiphosura; Limulidae
Exons: 2
Source: RefSeq, a predicted model, not a curated record